AGUAUGGAUGGUAUAUUUUUAAUACGUGUUUCGUUUACGUUCAUCCAGUUAUUUAUGAGCGAUUUUGAUCGAAGAGAAAAAUUUUUGAUAAAGUUUUAUAAAAUCGCGCUUUUAAUAAUAAAGUUGACCCUGUGACGCCAUCUACCAGGCCAGGCAGAAUCACUCGUAUUCCCAAUUUGAUCGAUAGAUGGCGCCACAGUUUCAUUUGGCGGUCGUUGAAAAAUCGACUGGUGGCGUAUAUUCUGCAAAAAGUGCGAAAAAGUCUUGAACAAUUAACGACAGCCUGUUGCAAGUGUUCAUUAAUCAUCUGUCAACAAUAUUCUACAACGAAACGAGGUGAGUACCCUUUUGGACUGUCCGAGUAUCUCAUCAAUUCUCGACGGCAA
Molecule: long non-coding RNA, 386 nt
Organism: Apis dorsata (giant honeybee)
Lineage: Eukaryota; Metazoa; Arthropoda; Insecta; Hymenoptera; Apidae
Exons: 2
Source: RefSeq, a predicted model, not a curated record